RNAcentral lists this ribosomal RNA (365 nucleotides) under uncultured bacterium. RNAcentral's name for it is "bacterial SSU rRNA". It matches the Rfam family "Bacterial small subunit ribosomal RNA", at positions 148 to 507 of the family's 1533-position model. The record is from RNAcentral.
GUAGCGAAAGCUACGCUAAUACCGCAUACGAUCUAUGGAUGAAGCGGGGAUCGCAAGACCUCGCGCGAUUGGAGCGGCCGAUAUCAGAUUAGGUAGUUGGUGAGGUAAAGGCUCACCAAGCCGACGAUCUGUAGCUGGUCUGAGAGGACGUACCCAGCCACACUGGGACUGAGACACGGCCCAGACUCCUACGGAGGCUAGCAGUGGGGAAUUUUGGACAAUGGGCGCAAGCCUGAUCCAGCAAUGCCGCGUGCAGGAUGAAAGGCCUUCGGGUUGUAAACUGCUUUUGUACGGAACGAAACGGUGAGCUCUAAUACAGUUUGCUAAUGACGGUACCGUAAGAAUAAGCACCGGCUAACUACGUG